Megalobrama amblycephala (Wuchang bream) is the source of this 838-nucleotide long non-coding RNA. RefSeq lists it as uncharacterized. The transcript has 3 exons. The record is from RefSeq and is a predicted model, not a curated record. Lineage: Eukaryota; Metazoa; Chordata; Actinopteri; Cypriniformes; Xenocyprididae.
GUUAAUCUUUUGGGUAUCACUGUAUCUGACAGUACAGUGGUACCAUGUGUCACAUUCUCAGAUGUCAUUGUACAUAUUCAUGAAUAAAAGAUUUAAACUGGCUUCAUACCAUUGAAAUGUUGUUUGUCCUCUCUCUUUUCAGUAUUCUUUGCCAUCUAGUCCUGAUUCCUGACUAUAGGUCUUCAGGAUGACCAGGAACUACAGGACGGUUUGAGCUACACUCUGCAGGACGUUGGUCCUCCAUGACCAGGACUGGACACCACUGUCCUAAAUAAACCUAAGGAGAGCCGCUCAGGCACAGGUCACUGCAUCUUUUGCUGUAUAAAAAAGCGCACAAAAAGCGGCCAGGCCACAGCUUCCGAAAUGGAAACUUCUGUCAAAUCAUGGCUCCAUAAUGCAAGAGACCGGGAUGGUGGAAGGAGCAGAAGAACCAGAAGACUGGAGAUCAGGCAAAGAUCUACUGGUACCCGAGGGGAUUGAUCAUCUCCAUCCACAAAUGAAUGAUUUCUGAAUGAUCAUGUGACACUGACAACUAGAUGCAGGCUGCUGAAUAUUAAGUUUUAACAUCACAGGAAAAUUUUACUUUGUAAAAUAUAUUAAAACAGUUCAGGGCUCGACAUUAACCCUUUUCCUGUGACGAGUAAAUCGGUCAUUCACAAACUUUGUUGUAAAUACAAUUUAUUCUGCAGCAUCAGUGUUAAGGCCGGCUGUGACAUGUAUAAAUCUCCAUAUUUAUGAUAUUUUUACCUUUAUAAAGGGCAUUUUCCCCAUUAUUAAAUAAAUGCUUCAUCUUUCAUUUUAAAUUCUUAAAUCUGAUAAAUAAAUUAAAUAAUUGUAA